AAAUUAGGGAUCUGGGUUACUACUCGUUACUGUUCAUCGAUUGGGUUUGGGUCUUUUGUUUUCUAGAUUCCGGCGAGGAGGGAGAUAUCAUAUCGGGAAACGGGAAAUCGGAUCUGAGCUGGGGAAAAGUCAUGGCCAUCGCCCCUCUUCCUCAACAAUUUCGCUAAGCUCCGACCAGCAGCAGGCUCCGCUGCCGCAAAAAUUGCCACCUCCCAGAUAUCGCAUGUCAGGCGAGCAAAUCGCCGGUCUAUAUCAUCGCCGCCUGGUGUACAAGCAACACCGGCUGCUAGCUGCCACAACUAUCUCCACCGGCCUUAUCUUCACCUCAAAUUUUGAUCUGAGUCACCCGUAUCGCCCCCUUUCAAUCUGGGUUCUCAGAUUUCCAUCUCAAAUCACGCCGGGAAAAAGACAGAAUUGAACCAGCGACGUCAGGGAAGAAAACUCUGGCGGCCUGAGCGACGUCAGCGAAGAAAACUCCGGCGGCCUCCGCCGUGCCUCCUGAGGCGGCCGACAUUUCUGAACUCUUGGCACCUGAAUUCUAGCGUAGCUCCGGGGAAAAGCUCCCACGAUCAUGGCCAUUUCUCUAUUUCUCUCUUUUAAGUUUUGUCUCUGCUGCUAAUCAUACUCUUUCUCUUGUAGAAACUCCAAUGGUGCUCUGACUUGGGGGGAGGGCAACUCGAUCCUUGUCGGAACCAGGCCGAUUUCCUCCAGAAUCGCACUGGCGAGGGUUUUAAUUUGAUAAGGAAAAACGAAAAGGGGAACUGGGGAAGAAUGAGGGAUCUUGGAAAUCUUAAGAUCGGCGAGCAACCACUGCUGUAAAAUCGAUUCAUUGUCAGUGUCUCAUCCGGCGAUGGAAGAAAAGUUCAGCGAUUAGAGGGGGAUACCCAAGCUGUUGAGUUCGUUCCCCGGUUGUCCUGCUUUUGCCUCCGGUUGGAUGACCGGAGGGGGCUACGAUCGCUGCUGCGAGACAGAAAUUCAAAGCUCAACACAUUUGGGACGCUAAUUUGUCAAAGGCAAUGUUGAACGGCCGACGAUAGAGCUUUCAGGCCAGAUGAACAUCGUCUAAAGAAGAAGAUAAGUUCUUGAUUCACUGGCUUGAGCCUUUAUUUAUACUUUUAUCUUAAUUGUGUUGAUGGUUUUCAAUUCCAUGGAGCAAUGACGUUUUUGCCAUGAAUUAAAUUUUUCUUAGUCUCAUAAGAAAUUUCCUUUUGUGAUUGCUUACUGGUGUUGAGUAAGAGCUCUGUUGAGAUGCGAGAAGAAUUUCAAUGUGCGUUCUGAUAUUGAUCUAAAGAUUGAGGAUAUUUUGAUAUUUGGGUAUUCUUUGGUAUUUUAAGAUCAUUAGCUUAGAUUUAUUGCUAUUUUGAAUUAUGGAAUUGAACAUUACAAUUGUUGGGAUAAGACCGUGGAGAUAUAUGCCUUUAUGUGCAUGAUUGAGUUAUUAUGGGGCAUUUAAAUUAACUCUUCAUGAUUUGGUUUUGAUGUUCGUGGGGCCUUAUUUGAAUUUUGGUGAUUGAAUUUGAGUUUAUUGGUUGGUUAUGAUUUGGCUUUGAUCUCAGCUCAGCGCUGAAGAGGGCAGCGCAGGCGAGGGCCUUUGAGGGCAGCGCAGGCAUGGCAGUAAUCCUCGAGGGCAGCGCAGUACGGUAGUCUUCGAGGCAGUACAGGUUCACAAGGAAGAUUUAGUCUUGCUGCUCAGCCCGGGAAGAAAUUCUCAAUAUUCAGCGCAGGUUCAUGGGUUCAUGGAGACGCACCAGAGGGCAGCCUCAGUCGCGCGAUUGAGGAGAAGCUCCAGCGCAGCUCUUAGCAUCUGAAUUCCGGCGCAGAUCCUUUCCUUUUUUCUCUCUUUUAACUUUUAUUUCUGCUGCUAAUUUCUUUCACCAGGAUUUGGUUAAUCUUUGGCCGUAGAGGCAGAUUUUCGCUGGAGCAUGAAGCUGGUACCGCAAGACGUAUGUAAUUCUUUCCCCAAAGGGGUCCAACAAGCCAUCGGGAUCCGAGGUUGGAAAUUUGGGAAUCACAAAAAUAGAGCCCUGAAGGCCAACGAGUUUGAACAUUCCGAGAUUAAUUUACAGCUAAGUUACAGUUUCUCAAAUUCCUUUGAUGCUAUGUUUAACGUUUAUUGUUUGUGGGUCAUGUACAUUGUGGAAGACGGCAUAGAAUGGCAUGUUUCUAUUGAACACCCUUACUUAAUUUGUGGAGCGCUUGCUGUUGGGAGUUAUUUUGAAUUGCUGAAGAUUUCCUGAAUAUAUACUAUGAUCUCAUAACUACCCGGUCAUAUGCCUAUAGAUCUUUUCGAGCUUGGUUAAGAGAAAAUAAUUAUGUGGAGAUGCUCUCCUUCGAUUGACUAUACUUUGUAUUUUGGGUACUUUAGAAUUUGUUUAGUCUCCUAGGACAAAGCUUAACUUUGUUCCUGGCAGAUCGUGCUAUAGAAUUAUGCCUGUGAUUUGUUCCUUUACUCAAUGUAUGGCUUGCUAUGUCAGUAGUAUGAAAUUAUCAAUUCCAUUCCCUGAAUCUCUAAGAAUCGAAGCAUGUUGUGUUGGGGGUUUCAUUUAAUUCUUGAGUUGAUGAAACCUGAUGAUCUACUGAAUUUGUUUGCGUGAUUAUUGGAAUAAGAUCAAUGAUGAUUGGGAGAUAAGCACAUUCACAAAUCAAUUUGUUGGGAAGUGCAUUCAUUUGUUAGUGUUUUUCAAAUUAUUUUCAUACUGAAAUCAAUUCUAUAACCUCAAUCGCUUGUUUUGCUUGUAAUCUCUCUUUUCGUUGUUUGAUUUUUGUGCAAGGAAUAUCAAGUAAAACUCGAGUGCUUAAGAGAAUUAUUAAGAGAGCCUAGUGAUUCUAUCGAAGACCUGGUUUCUAGUUGCUAGCUAUUUAUUUACAAAGAUUCGAGUCAGGGAUGAAUUCAGUCCGGAUCUCGUGUAAAAACAGAAACAAAAGCUGAGUCAUUUGUCUCCCUUUACUGCGUUGAAUUGGAGAUAUUGAUGGAGAAUCCUGCGAAAAUAAUAUCCAUGGUCGCAGCUAUAUGUUCAGCAUUGAUUCAAAGAGAUUUGGUUUCGACGAAGCCUCAGCGGCAAGGGCAUUCAUGAUAGCCCGGAUAACAUCCAUGGCGUCCUUAACGACAAGAAAAGCUAAGUUAUCUAUUUCUCUUCACUUUAUUGAACUCUUGGGAAUCAAUCAUGUUUCUUCUGCUAGGUAUCAUAGCUAGUAUUGAUUUGAACACUUGAAUAUUGGUUUAAUUGGUCGGGAUAGGGACAUAACAUGGUGUCAGAUGGGACUUCGCUUAUACAGCAGUGCUAAUUCCGCUCUAAAUUGAUGAAGCAAUGUUUCAUGGAUGGUGAAUUAUUUAUUGUGACUUGCAUUAUUUUGGAAAUACUUUGUGGAUUUCUUGGAAUUAAAUUGAACUACCUUGACCUCACUAAUUUACUUACUGACAUCGAUUUAUUCAGGAACACAUUAUCUAAAUUUUUGAACUGAAAUUUACACUCAAGUUAUCUAAAUUAUGGGAAAUUGAUGUGGCAGCGUUGUUUUAUGUUUUUUCUAUAAUCUCAGAGCAGAGCUGGUGUUGGAGCUAGGAGCUUGUUGAACUUCCAAGUGUCAUAUUGGACAAGUCUUCAAUUUGGCUGUUACGGCACUCCAGCCUGCGGGCUUUAUUAAAGUCUUGAUACGAAGAGGUUUUCCAGUAUCACAAGAAGCACAGGAAUAGGCUGUCAGUUUCCCACGCUGACUCAGCAUCAUUAUUUAGCGCAGUAAAAGGUCGCCGGGUUGCAGCGUUGCUUGGGAAUUCUCAGCGAAACGAAGGAAUAUGCUGCGCAGCGCAGGGAGAAGGGAGAAGGGUAGCUCAUUAGCCGCGCCGAGGCAACGCAGGGAAGGAGAGGGCAGCUCAUUAACUACACUGAUGCAGUAUGCUGAUGCAGCGCAGGAACUCUACAUUAUCUCAGCGCAGAAUAUAAUAGUCGUAAUGUAACGAAGGUAACCCACUAACUAGUGGUGAUCCAGCACAUCAGUAAUGGUUAACAAUGCUGGAAAACCUGCUUCGGCAGAAAAUGAGCUUUAGUGGCAAUUCAGCCACGCUUCGGAGGGGAAAGCCUUAAGCAGAAUUUGGGUCUUCUCAGCGCAGUCAGGAUAUUUAUCUCAGCUACCACUGCGCAGUUAUCUCAGCGCAGCUAUCUCAGUUAUCUUAGCUACCUCAGGGCAGCUACCUCAGCGCAGCUAUCUCAGCACUGUCAGGGCAGCUAUCUCAGCUAUCUCAGAGCAGCUACCUAGUUAUCUCAGCUACCUCAGGGCAGCUACCUCAACGCAGUUAUCUCAGCGCAGUCAGGACAUUUAUCUCAGCGCAGCUAUCUCAGUUAUCUCAGUAGUUUUCAGCGCAGAAUGUCCGAGCCGUUGUCAGUUCAGAAUGUCUAUGCUCCGCGCAGGAAUAUCGUAAGCCGCGAAAGUUAGACAGGGUUCUUUGAUUGUCUAUGCUCCGCGCAGGAAUAUCGUAAGCCGCGAAAGUUAGACAGGGGUGUACCAUCUUAAGGGCCGCGUUGCGGAAAUGUACCAUCUUAAUGGCCGCGUUGCGGAGGGGUGUACCAUCUUAAGGGCCGCGUUGCGGAAAUGUACCAUCUUAAGGGCCGCGCUGCGGAAAUGUACCAUCUUAAGGGCCGCGUUGCGGAAAUGUACCAUCUUAAGGGCCGCGUUGCGGAGAGGUACUAUCUUAAGGGCCGCGUUGCGGGAGUGUAUCAUCUUUGUCAGUGCAGGUAGUGCAGCGCAGUCAGCGCGGAGUUGUCAGCGCAGUCGGUGCAGCGCAGUCAGCGCGAGGUUGUCAACGCAGAUCACUUGAGUCUUCCCAGCAUAUGUUAUCUAAGCCCUUAUUAUCUUUAAUGAUGUUCGACGAAUCAAAAGGAAUAAUUGCUAUCUCUUUUAUCUCAGCUUAUUUCCAGCAUUAAAAUACUUUGUCUUUAUCAUUUUUGCAAAGAUUGACAGUUCUUGUCUAAUAAGUCGCAGGGAAUCGUGUAUGCUUAAUUGACACGGGAGAGCAGCACAGCGCUGACUUCACACCACACACCACUAGUUGAACAAAGAGAACGCUGUUCAACUAGACUAGGGGGGAGUAGCUGAUGAGGACUGUAAUUCCCAUCAGCGCUGUGCUUAGCAAUCUAAGCCUAUUUUACCUUAUUAUUACUAUUAUUAUUAUUAUUACAGAAACUAACAGCGCAGGUACGAUCGGAUAUCUUGGAUAAAAGAGUAAGAAAUCAACCUAAGUAGAUGGAGUGAAGAAUGAUUGCACACAGAAACCUUCCCACGCAGCCAAGGUGCCUUCCUGCGCAGCCAAGUAGCUUUCCCGUGCAGCCGCGCAGCCAGACCAGAGCAGAGCAGCGCAGACCAGAGCAGAGCAGCGCAGACCAAAGUAGCGCGGCAGCGCUGCGCAGUCAGAGCAGCGUCACCAAAGUGCCUUUCCUGCGCAGCUACGUAUGAUAGUUCAACUUC
Molecule: long non-coding RNA, 5457 nt
Organism: Salvia miltiorrhiza (redroot sage)
Lineage: Eukaryota; Viridiplantae; Streptophyta; Magnoliopsida; Lamiales; Lamiaceae
Exons: 3
Source: RefSeq, a predicted model, not a curated record